This 302-nucleotide signal recognition particle RNA is filed under the name Vombatus ursinus (common wombat). RNAcentral describes it as "Metazoan signal recognition particle RNA (ENSVURG00010000136.1)". It matches the Rfam family "Metazoan signal recognition particle RNA". Rfam says of the family: The signal recognition particle (SRP) is a universally conserved ribonucleoprotein. It is involved in the co-translational targeting of proteins to membranes. Lineage: Eukaryota; Metazoa; Chordata; Mammalia; Diprotodontia; Vombatidae. The record is from Rfam by way of RNAcentral.
ACGAGGUAUGAUGGUGCACAUCUGUAAUUACAUUUCCUUGGGAAGUUAAAACUGGCAGAACUCUUGAGCUCCAGAAAUCUGAGAUCUAUGUACGGCUAAGCUGAUCAGGUGUUUGCACUAAGUUCAGCAUUAAGAUAUGUGAAGGGUAGGGAAAAGGGGACACCAGGUUGCCUAAGGAAAGGUGAACUGGCCCAGGUCAGAAACAGAACAGGUCAAAACUCCUAUGCUGAUCAGUAGUGGGAUCAUCCCAGGAGUAGCCUCUGUACUUCCAGCCUGGGUGAGAAAGGAAAAUCUAGUCUUUA